UUGAUUCGUUCCUCAUCUCUUACCUCGAUCCCCUAUUCCGCCGCCGCGCGACCCGAGCGCUGGCCGCUGGCCGCAUCGUGGCCACAGGGAGGCCGUGCCGCCGCCGCUCGAGUACACACCCAGCGUUGCAUCCGCUCGAUUCCAUACCUCCACCGGCCGCUCUAGUCCACAGCCCACGCCGCCUCCUAUAGCCGCUCGAAUCCACUCGUCCACCGUCCGCAGGAGCUGCCGCCGGAGUCCACGGAUGGGAGACUGGGAGACGGCGGAAGAACAGGAUUUCGCCUCCGCCGACCAUUACUUGGACGCUGGUUCUCCACAAUCUGGUAGCGGGCGCCGCUGUUUCUCCACGUCGUCAGAUCGAGCCAGCUGAGGUUUGAGAGCUAGAGCUUCAGAACUCUCGCUGUUGUGCCUCUUUUUCAAUUUUUUCUUUAAAGUAACACACGACUCAUUUCAUUACAUAGUAGUACUGGGUAUAUUGCUAGAUCAUAAUGUCCAGAAUUUCAUUGCUGUCGUCAGAUGCGUUGAGUCAGUUUAAAACUUCACAAAGUGUCAAUCGUGUCAAACAAUAAAUCAAUAUACAUAAUUCGAACAAAACUUGUUUUCCAUAACUUGUGAAAAAUUAAGCUGACACAUUACUUGAGCUGUCAAAGGCGUAGUUGUAAGGUUUCAUCCUUGUACUCUGCACCAGCAAGAAAAUCAUAUGAGGUUUGAAUUAUCCAGCACAUUACUUGAGCAGAAAAGAUAAGUUGACAGCACUCACUCUGAAUGUUCAGCAGUGAGUAAGCUCAGUUUACCUGGGUUGUCAAUCAAAGGUGCCUUCCAUUUGCCUUGUUGUGCUUUUAGAGCUGCAAGUGAAAUCUUGCAUUUGGAGCGUAGUCACAACGCAUACUGUAGAAUAUGAUGUCCACUUUGGCUUAGCUCAGUAUUAUAAACUCGCUGUUGGAAAGUAACGACGGUUGAAUACAAUUUCAACUGUUUUAGCAUUAUAAUAAAUUCACUAAUGAUAUUUGCUACUUUAACACAGAGGCGAUGGAUCUAACAACUAUUAAAAAGUUAUUGUGUUCUCCUAGACCAAGUGCAGACUAUUUGGCUGGCGUAGAUGGUUUUCUUGCUUUUGCAUACACUGGAAAAAGUUCAGAUGCCAAGAUCCAUUGUCCAUGCGUCAAAUGUGUCAAUAGGAACUUGUUGAAGCGGGACACCGUAUAUGAUCAUUUGGUGUGUGAUGGAAUGCUACUUGGAUACACUGUUUGGGGUUGUCAUGGUGAAACUGCAGGAUACAUCUCCUCUAACAAAUGAAAAAGGUCAAAACAGGAAGGCAUAAACUCUAAUAUGCGCCGGCUAGUCCAUGAUAUUUUCGUGAACAUAGAUAAUGGGUCUCAAGUGAACGACUUUGAUGACCCAAACCCUCCACAACACGGGCCAGAUCCUGAAACCCAAGCCUUUUAUGACUUGUUGAGAGAAGCAGAUGUACCUUUGUGGAAAAGGAUAUUAGAUUGCUCGCCCUGGGCCCAGUUAAUGCAGCCAAAAGAUAUUGCGCUUUCAACUCCCGAGGCUACCAUUUUAGGCCUAAACGCUUGGAUAAAGAGACACAAAAUAGUGGAGUCAUGGUAACUGCAAAAACUUCUAGUUAUGAUUCAGCACAUGAUGCCAAUCCUGUUUUACGUGAUGUGACGUACUACGGGAGGGUAAUUGAUAUUGUCGAGCUAAACUACUCUGGACAGUUUUCAGUGGUGUUGUUUAAAUGUGAAUGGGUUAAUGUGUUCUCAGGAACAGGAAUGAAAAAAGACAAGUACGGUUACACACUUGUCAACUUCUCACAUCUAAUACACAAAGGAGAACAGAUUGAGCAUGAGCCUUUUAUUUUCCCUAACCAGGCGAAUCAAGUGUUCUAUGUGGAAGAUGAAUUGAAUUCAGGUUGGUCUGUGGUAAUGAAGUUGCCAAAGCCUAGAGAUGUAUAUGACUUAGGCAACUUGGAAUGGGAAGCGCAGACAGAAAAUGAGCCAUUCCAUGUUUCACAGCUUAGAGAGAGUUUGAAAAGAAAGAACAAUGAACAACAUUGGGUUAGAAGAGACGUUGAGGGGACAAUAGUGGAUGCUAAUAAUGCUUCGAGCAACGAAGAAUAGUUUAGGUUAGUAGCAAUAUGUUCUUGUGUUUCCAUAUUCAAUUUGCAAGAUGUGUUUUUACCUCUAGUAUAAUUUGUUGUUCAAUCUUUCUAUUCUUCAAUUAUGUUUUGUGCAUUCUUUCUUUUAUGUUGAGUUGACACUUUCAUAUCAGAUAUGAAAUUUAGUGAUAAAAGUAGCACAAAAUGUCUCUUCUAUUUUCUUGUUCGUGUUUUGAAUUAUUUUGGCUGCAUGCUACAGGUUCAGACUGCAUGCUACAUGGAGGCAUGGAGGGGUUGGUCGGCUGUGUGCUUUGUGUUGGUACAAAACAACCUACUCUUUUCUGCUUGCUGGCUUUCUGCUGACUACUUGACCAACUUGCUUGGUGAUAUACUGCUGUGUGAGACCAUGUCUUGGUCAAAACUUAGUAUACUCUUAUAUUCAUGCUUGUAAUUCGGUCAGCUACGACACCACGUGCUUGUUUGGAACAUCAUUUUGUACUUUGGUCAACAACAGUUCAGAAUUGAGAUAUACACAUCUUGUUUGGAACUUUAUUUUGUAUACUUUGGUUAACAGUUCAGAAUUGGCAUACUCUUGCAGUGUUCAAAAAUCCUGUUUUGCGAUCACAUGUUGCCAUUUUUCUAAAAGUCUG
RNAcentral lists this long non-coding RNA (2751 nucleotides) under Triticum aestivum (bread wheat). RNAcentral's name for it is "long non-coding RNA (TAES_LNC008097)". The record is from RNAcentral. Lineage: Eukaryota; Viridiplantae; Streptophyta; Magnoliopsida; Poales; Poaceae.